UGAGUCGGCCGGGUGAUCGCGGCGAAUGAACCGCCCGCGUGAUGCGGGCAGGCAGGAGCCGAGGAAAGUCCGGACUCCGAAGAGCACGGUGGUUGCUAACGGCAACCCGGGGUGACCCGCGGGCAUGUGCAACAGAGAGUAGACCGCCCGGUUUUUGACCGGGUAAGGGUGAAAGGGUGCGGUAAGAGCGCACCGGCGUGGCAGGUGACUGCCGCGGCCAGGUAAACCCCACCGGGAGCAAGGCAUCACGGCCUGCCACACGGCAGGCCCGAUCAGGUGUUGGAGGGCUGCUCGCCCGAGCCUGAAGGUAGCUGCUUGAGGCGCCCAGCGAUGGGUGGCCCAGAUGGAUGAUCACCGCCGCCAGCGGCACAGAAUCCGGCUUAUACGCCGGCUCAUUCG
Molecule: RNase P RNA, 399 nt
Filed under: Corynebacterium maris DSM 45190
Lineage: Bacteria; Bacillati; Actinomycetota; Actinomycetes; Mycobacteriales; Corynebacteriaceae
Description: Bacterial RNase P class A
Rfam family: Bacterial RNase P class A
About the family: Ribonuclease P (RNase P) is a ubiquitous endoribonuclease, found in archaea, bacteria and eukarya as well as chloroplasts and mitochondria.
Source: Rfam by way of RNAcentral